UGGUGGAGUGAUUUGUCUGGUUAAUUCCGAUAACGAACGAGACUCUAGCCUGCUAAAUAGACGGGCGAUUCCUUCGUGGGUCGACCCGAUUUGCUUCUUAGAGGGACAAGUGGCGUUCCUAGCCACGCGAAAUUGAGCAAUAACA
Molecule: ribosomal RNA, 145 nt
Filed under: uncultured eukaryote
Lineage: Eukaryota
Description: partial 18S ribosomal RNA
Rfam family: Eukaryotic small subunit ribosomal RNA
Source: RNAcentral